GAUGAACGCUGGCGGCGUGCCUAAUACAUGCAAGUCGAGCGAACAGACGAGGAGCUUGCUCCUCUGAUGUUAGCGGCGGACGGGUGAGUAACACGUGGAUAACCUACCUAUAAGACUGGGAUAACUUCGGGAAACCGGAGCUAAUACCGGAUAAUAUAUUGAACCGCAUGGUUCAAUAGUGAAAGACGGUUUUGCUGUCACUUAUAGAUGGAUCCGCGCCGCAUUAGCUAGUUGGUAAGGUAACGGCUUACCAAGGCAACGAUGCGUAGCCGACCUGAGAGGGUGAUCGGCCACACUGGAACUGAGACACGGUCCAGACUCCUACGGGAGGCAGCAGUAGGGAAUCUUCCGCAAUGGGCGAAAGCCUGACGGAGCAACGCCGCGUGAGUGAUGAAGGUCUUCGGAUCGUAAAACUCUGUUAUUAGGGAAGAACAAAUGUGUAAGUAACUAUGCACGUCUUGAUGGUACCUAAUCAGAAAGCCACGGCUAACUACGUG
Molecule: ribosomal RNA, 497 nt
Filed under: uncultured bacterium
Lineage: Bacteria
Description: partial 16S ribosomal RNA
Rfam family: Bacterial small subunit ribosomal RNA
Source: RNAcentral